AUGAACGCUGGCGGCGUGCCUAAUACCUGCCAGUCGAGCGCACGGACGAGAAGCUUGCUUUUCUGAUGUUAGCGGCGGACGGGUGAGUAACACGUGGAUAACCUACCUAUAAGACUGGGAUAACUUCGGGAAACCGGAGCUAAUACCGGAUAAUAUUUUGAACCGCAUGGUUCAUAAGUGAAAGACGGUCUUGCUGUCACUUAUAGAUGGAUCCGCGCUGCAUUAGCUAGUUGGUAAGGUAACGGCUUACCAAGGCAACGAUGCAUAGCCGACCUGAGAGGGUGAUCGGCCACACUGGAACUGAGACACGGUCCAGACUCCUACGGGAGGCAGCAGUAGGGAAUCUUCCGCAAUGGGCGAAAGCCUGACGGAGCAACGCCGCGUGAGUGAUGAAGGUCUUCGGAUCGUAAAACUCUGUUAUUAGGGAAGAACAUAUGUGUAAGUAACUGUGCACAUCUUGACGGUACCUAAUCAGAAAGCCACGGCUAACUACGUG
RNAcentral lists this ribosomal RNA (496 nucleotides) under uncultured bacterium. RNAcentral describes it as "partial 16S ribosomal RNA". It matches the Rfam family "Bacterial small subunit ribosomal RNA", at positions 29 to 507 of the family's 1533-position model. The record is from RNAcentral.